Molecule: ribosomal RNA, 482 nt
Filed under: uncultured bacterium
Lineage: Bacteria
Description: partial 16S ribosomal RNA
Rfam family: Bacterial small subunit ribosomal RNA
Source: RNAcentral
AUUGAACGCUGGCGGCAUGCUUUACACAUGCAAGUCGAACGGUAACAGGCCGCAAGGUGCUGACGAGUGGCGAACGGGUGAGUAAUGCAUCGGAACGUGCCCAGUCGUGGGGGAUAACUACUCGAAAGAGUAGCUAAUACCGCAUACGAUCUAUGGAUGAAAGCGGGGGACGGAAGGGCCCCCGCGGUUUGGGCGGCCGGAUGUCAGAUUAGGUAGUUGGUGGGGUAAAGGCUCACCAAGCCAACGAUCUGUAGCUGGUCUGAGAGGACGACCAGCCACACUGGGACUGAGACACGGCCCAGACUCCUACGGGAGGCAGCAGUGGGGAAUUUUGGACAAUGGGCGCAAGCCUGAUCCAGCAAUGCCGCGUGCAGGAAGAAGGCCUUCGGGUUGUAAACUGCUUUUGUACGGAACGAAACGGCUCUGGUUAAUACCCGGGGCUAAUGACGGUACCGUAAGAAUAAGCACCGGCUAACUACGUG